GCUUCAGGUUUGUCCUCUAGAUUACCACAAAGUAUACACAGUAGUAAACACACGGUGCUGCCAGUCCACACUGUAUUUGAGAUGGAUUUUUUUUUUUUUUUUUUAUACUGGUAUCCCUGCUACCGGAUCUGUAAUCUUCAUUACACAUUCUGUGCUUCGCCGGGCUACACGUGCCUACGCGUCAGUUAUUUGUAUAACGAAACAAACAGUUUAAAGAAUACUUUCCUUUGUUAGUGUUAGAAAAGGGAAAACAAACUCCUUUAUCUGAAGAAUACGAUAAUAUAGCAAGAAAAAUUAAGAAAUUGGGUAAGAUACUGACGCGCGCACGACACAAAGAAAGGUCGUCCUAGUCUCCAAGAAGAUUGUCCACCUCAUCAACAGUGUCAUCAGAAUCGAAAAACUCAUCAAGUCAUCGCCCGCUUCAUUGUCCGCAUUGCAGGACACAUUAAACAUUGAAGAAUUACAGGUUAAAAGUUACUCGGAAGACAAAGGAGCCUGCCUACAAGAAUCACCACGCCAACUCUGACGUGACGACAGUUUGAACUGUCGUCACAUGGUCGUCACGUCCGUCGCGACAUCGCGAUCGAAAGUCGAAACCACCAACAGACAGGGUAAGAUAUGCCGGCAGGCUUUCAAACUUUUAUGAUUGGUGGUCAGUGAUGCUAUUAUAAUGUCAUAGAUAAAAGGGUACCUAAAAGAUGCCUCUUUUGAGUCAACGACUUUUAUUGUUCCUUCGGUACAUUCGAGUUCACCAAAACAGAGAAACGUUCCUGUAUAAGGCGAAUACUUCCAUGUCAGAAAAUAUUGAUAUACGAACGUCCUAUCCAUGAUUUUACAUGUAAUAGACGCUAUUACGGAAUGCAAACUUUGCUUAGAUCAACUUUUAAUUCCUUCAUUUUUAAUUAGAAAACAUAAUGGGAAAUAUAGAUUCAUACUAAACUUCAAAUAACUGAACAGAUUUAUUGACACUUCUUAUGUUCAACUUGUUUUUAAAACUGUUUUAUAAGUCCUCUAGACCUGAGGGAUGCUUAAUUUUUGAUUAGCAUUAAUCAUAAUAAUAAAAACAUAUACACAUGUAUAUUCGUUUUAAAUUUGGAGAAAAACUAAUAAUUUAAUGUAUUUUGGCCGUAUUACUGCGUCCGUUGUCUGGAUCAAAAUAAUGAAAGCAGUGACCAAUUUACUGAGAUCAAGUAGUCACAAUAUAUUUUGAUGAUAUUUUAUUAUAUCUAAUAAUAGCUUAUACUCCCAAAAGGCCUUGGGGAUUAUUAUCAGUACCUACUGUUCAUCUAUGCUUAUAAUAAAUCUGUUGAGAGGUCAACUUAAUAAUGUUCGUAAGUUCCUGGGUUUCAUAAUCAAUUCUCAGAACAGAACUACAAAUCACUUUACCUGAGGAAAAGAUUUUGAAAAUUAAAAAGGAAGUCAAUAAAUUGCAAAUAUUAAUUGUAUUAUAGCUGUAAGGUCAUAUCAUUCGCUUGUUUAUUGGGGUUACUUACCUUAGAAUACCCGCCGUCCGAUACGGAUGGCUCUAAACAAACGAAAAAAAAAAAAAAAAAAAAAAAUGGAAAUAUGACAAUAUUUGAAAGAUUACAAAUAGAACAAAUAUUUGACCAUCAUCAUUAUUAACUAGUAUUUAGUGGUUAAUGAUAUUCAUCAAACUGAGUUUUGUAUAAAAAUCUAUAGCGAUGCCUCAACUACGGGUUGGGGGGCCGCCUGUGGAGAGGAACGUGCUAGUGUUAUGUGGUCGGACACAGUACGUGAACGACACAUCUAUUAUUUAGUACAAUAAUUAUUUUUAUUGGCAGCAUUCCGGACUCGACGGAAAAUUUUUGCAAAGUUUUAUCAAAAUACUCAAAUUAUUCUUACGAAUUCUCAGCUAUUUCAUACACAAACCGCAUGGGAGGCGGUGAAUUCCCAAACCUUACAACAAACAAGAAACUGUAUACUGUAACUUGCAUCUUACAAGUACAUCAGUUCAGCAGACUAUUAUGUCGCAGAUAAAGAACCACGUUGCGUCCAUCCAAAAAUUGAAUGGGAACUAUCAUGAUGCCAACCUUUUGGAAAACCAGAAACUGAUUUAUUCACAAGGAGGCUGACUAAAAAAUGUGCAAGAUACAUUUCUUGGCAUAGAGAUCCUGACGCUUUUAUUAUAGAUGCAUUUACAAUUUAAUAGUUGAGUAAAAUAUUUGAUAACAAUGCAAAAAGGAUCAAUGAUAGCCCCACUCUGGCUGACACAACCGUGGUACCCCUUAUAAAAGAGUCUUUUUACUUUCAGAACCACUUAUAAUUAAACCACCAUAAACGCUGUUUAUCUCCCAUUCCAGCAACCGAGAUGUACAUCAAGAGAUUGCCCUGGUUACAGGAAUGUUGUCUUCUCUUUCCGAGAACUCAGUAAGGCAAUACAAUACAUACCUAAAGAAGUGGUGUAUAUAUUUUGUAAAUACAGUAAUAUUAAUUUGUAUCUUGGUACCGUACCAAAUGUUAUAAGUUUUUUAAUAUUAUUUUAUGAAUCAGGUUUGCAAUAUGGAACAGCUGUAGAUCAGCUCUUUGACUAAUUCUGGGCGAAGAAGUGGUCAAUGAUAACCAUAUUAAAACUUUAAUGAGGGAGUUUAUAGACUACGUCCACCCUUGCCCAAAUAAUAAAACUAUUAUACCUGGGAAACAUUUAUUAUGCUUACUUUUUAUAGCAAAUUGGUUCUCCAAUGAAUCAUUGAGUUUCAAAAAACUGAAUUAAAAUAUUUUCUAUUUAAUAAUGAUACCCGAUUUAAUCAAAAGCUCUCGUCCUGAAACAUCUCAAUUGAUUCAUCAUCUGUAUUGAUUAUUCCAAAUUUUCCAGAAAUAUGUCCUGUUGGUACACUACAUUUUUAUUUUCAUACAACACAAAGCUUGCGUAGUGAAAAUAAACUUUUUAUAAGACCUAGAAAGUCACAAAAAUCAGUUGUGCUCACAGUGUGCCACGACUUCCAAAGCUCAUGGGCUGAAUAUAAAUUUAAAUCUGAUUAUAAAAUAUGCAGGGUGGAGCAGUAACUCCCUAACAUUUGAAAAAUUCUGUAAUAGAUAUAUAACUAAGUAUAAUUUUGAUAGUUUCGUACUUUUCAAUACUGUUUAUAUUAAAAAUAAUGUUCUAAUGAUUGAUCACAAGACCGAUAAUAAUAAUUGAUCAACAAUUUUAAUAAUUGUAUCUUUUUUCAUCGGGAAUAAAAUUAUUCACUGUGAUCUAAAAGUUGAUAUUUUCACUCUCAACAUCUACUGUGUAUACUUUGUGGUAAUCUAGAGGACAAACCUGAAGCAUAAUUAAUGAUUAAACGAACUUACCUGUACGUGAAGUUCUAUCAUAAUUAUGCGAAGGUUUGUCCGAAUAGAUUACCACCCCGCCCACCCCAUUGUGCAAUUUCCCGAAUAAUAUAUAAAGUCUAUAUAAUUUAUAUAUACAAUAUUUAUUAUAUAAUAUGAUUAUAUAAGAAUUACUACUUGUCUAACUUAACAUUUGAAUAUCAACUUUAGUAAUUGCAUAAACUGCUCUGCUCUAAACUGAAUGAAGAUUACAGAUCCGGUAGCAGGGAUACCAGUAUAAAAAAAAAAAAAAAAAAUCCAUCUCAAAUACAGUGUGGACUGGCAGCACCGUGUGUUUACUACUGUGUAUACUUUGUGGUAAUCUAUUCGGACAAACCUUCGCAUAAUUAUGAUAGAACUUCACGUACAGGUAAGUUCGUUUAAUCAUUAAUUAUCUAAAACUUAUCAUUAAUAAAUAUGAGUUUUUGACGGCCUCCGUGGCGCAGUGGUAUGCGCGGUGGAUUUACAGGGAGGUCCUGGGUUCGAUCCCCGGCUGGGCAGAUUGAGAUUUUCUUAAUUUGUCCAGGUCUGGCUGGUGGGAGGCUUCGGCCGUGGCUAGUUACCACCCUACCGGCAAAGACGUACCGCCAAGCGAUUUAGCGUUCCGGUACGAUGCCGUGUAGAAACCGAAAGGGGUGUGGAUUUUCAUCCUCCUCCUUGACAAGUUAGCCCGCUUCCAUCUUAGACUGCAUCAUCACUUACCAUCAGGUGAGAUUGUAGUCAA
This is a long non-coding RNA of Bicyclus anynana (squinting bush brown), 4054 nucleotides long. RefSeq lists it as uncharacterized. Lineage: Eukaryota; Metazoa; Arthropoda; Insecta; Lepidoptera; Nymphalidae. The record is from RefSeq and is a predicted model, not a curated record. The transcript has 2 exons.